This 253-nucleotide ribosomal RNA is filed under the name uncultured bacterium. RNAcentral's name for it is "partial 16S ribosomal RNA". It matches the Rfam family "Bacterial small subunit ribosomal RNA", at positions 524 to 776 of the family's 1533-position model. The record is from RNAcentral.
UACGUAGGGGGCUAGCGUUGUCCGGAUUUAUUGGGCGUAAAGAGCGUGUAGGCGGCCAAGUAGGUCCGGUGUGAAAACUCGAGGCUUAACCUCGAGAUGUCAUCGGAAACCAUUUGGCUAGAGUCCGGAAGAGGAAAGUGGAAUUCCUGGUGUAGCGGUGAAAUGCGUAGAGAUGUGGAGGAAUACCGAUGGCGAAGGCAGCCCCCUGGGAUAACACUGACGCUCAUGCACGAAAGCGUGGGGAGCAAACAGG